RNAcentral lists this ribosomal RNA (497 nucleotides) under uncultured bacterium. RNAcentral's name for it is "bacterial SSU rRNA". It matches the Rfam family "Bacterial small subunit ribosomal RNA", at positions 33 to 507 of the family's 1533-position model. The record is from RNAcentral.
GAGGCACGCUGGCGGCGUGUCUUAGCCAUGCAAGUCGAGCGGACUUAUGGGGUAACUUAUAAGUCAGCGGCGGACGGCGGAGUAACACGUAGCUAACCUACCCUCUGGACGGGGAUAACCUACCGAAAGGUGGGCUAAUACCCGAUGUAGUCAUCCUGUAUAGGGGUGAUGAAAGGUGGGCUUCUGUUUACAAGCUCAUGCUGGAGGAGGGGGCUGCGGCCUAUCAGGUAGUUGGUGGGGUAAUAGCCUACCAAGCCGAUGACGGGUAGCCGGCCUGAGAGGGUGACCGGCCCGAGGGGCACUGAGAUACGGGUCCCACUCCUACGGGAGGCAGCAGGCUAGAAAUUUGGGCAAUGGGGAAACCCUGACCCAGUGACGCCGCGUGCAGGAAGGAGCCCUUCGGGGUGUAAACUGCUGUCGUGUAGGGAGAAGGGUACUAAGGUGAACAAUCUUAGUACUUGACGGUACUACAGGAGGAAGCCCAGGCUAACCUCGUG